AAUCAACGCUGGCGGCGUGCCUCAGACAUGCAAGUCGAACGAGAAGUCCCCUUCGGGGGAUGGAUAGUGGCGCACGGGUGAGUAACACGUGGGUAAUUUACCUUUGGGUGGGGAACAACAGCCGGAAACGGCUGCUAAUACCGCAUAAUGCAGCGGCUCCUCAUGGAGACAGUUGUUAAAGCGGGGGAUCGCAAGACCUCGCGCCUGAAGAGAAGCCCGCGGCAGAUAGCUAGUUGGUAAGGUAAUGGCUUACCAAGGCGACGAUCUGUAACCGGCCUGAGAGGGCGGUCGGUCACACUGACACUGACAUACGGGUCAGACUCCUACGGGAGGCAGCAGUCGGGAAUUUUGGGCAAUGGGCGAAAGCCUGACCCAGCAACGCCGCGU
This 387-nucleotide ribosomal RNA is filed under the name uncultured bacterium. Its description in RNAcentral is "bacterial SSU rRNA". It matches the Rfam family "Bacterial small subunit ribosomal RNA", at positions 32 to 402 of the family's 1533-position model. The record is from RNAcentral.